RNAcentral lists this transfer RNA (72 nucleotides) under Bos taurus (domestic cattle). It matches the Rfam family "tRNA". Rfam says of the family: Transfer RNA (tRNA) molecules are approximately 80 nucleotides in length. Their secondary structure includes four short double-helical elements and three loops (D, anti-codon, and T loops). Further hydrogen bonds mediate the characteristic L-shaped molecular structure. tRNAs have two regions of fundamental functional importance: the anti-codon, which is responsible for specific mRNA codon recognition, and the 3' end, to which the tRNAs corresponding amino acid is attached (by aminoacyl-tRNA synthetases). tRNAs cope with the degeneracy of the genetic code in two manners: having more than one tRNA (with a specific anti-codon) for a particular amino acid; and 'wobble' base-pairing, i.e. permitting non-standard base-pairing at the 3rd anti-codon position. RNAcentral also lists the same sequence under 5 other names. The record is from Rfam by way of RNAcentral. Lineage: Eukaryota; Metazoa; Chordata; Mammalia; Artiodactyla; Bovidae.
UCCCUGGUGGCUCAGAUGGUAAAGAAUCUGCCUGUGAUGCAGGAGACCUGGGUUCAAUCCCUGGGUUGGGAA